This 433-nucleotide ribosomal RNA is filed under the name uncultured bacterium. RNAcentral describes it as "partial 16S ribosomal RNA". It matches the Rfam family "Bacterial small subunit ribosomal RNA", at positions 29 to 507 of the family's 1533-position model. The record is from RNAcentral.
AACGAACGCUGGCGGCAUGCCUAACACAUGCAAGUCGAACGAGACCUUCGGGUCUAGUGGCGCACGGGUGCGUAACGCGUGGGAACCUGCCCUUAGGUUCGGAAUAACUCCCCGAAAGGGGUGCUAAUACCGGAUAAUGUCUUCGGACCAAAGAUUUAUCGCCUUUGGAUGGGCCCGCGUUGGAUUAGCUAGUUGGUAGGGUAAAAGCCUACCAAGGCGACGAUCCAUAGCUGGCCUGAGAGGAUGAUCAGCCACACUGGGACUGAGACACGGCCCAGACUCCUACGGGAGGCAGCAGUGGGGAAUAUUGGGCAAUGGGCGAAAGCCUGAUCCAGCAAUGCCGCGUGAGUGAUGAAGGCCUUAGGGUUGUAAAGCUCUUUUACCCGGGAUGAUAAUGACAGUACCGGGAGAAUAAGCUCCGGCUAACUCCGUG